GAUGAACGCUGGCGGCGUGCCUAAUACAUGCAAGUCGAGCGAACAGAUGAGGAGCUUGCUCCUCUGACGUUAGCGGCGGACGGGUGAGUAACACGUGGAUAACCUACCUAUAAGACUGGGAUAACUUCGGGAAACCGGAGCUAAUACCGGAUAAUAUAUUGAACCGCAUGGUUCAAUAGUGAAAGACGGUUUUGCUGGCACUUAUAGAUGGAUCCGCGCCGCAUUAGCUAGUUGGUAAGGUGACGGCUUACCAAGGCAACGAUGCGUAGCCGACCUGAGAGGGUGAUCGGCCACACUGGAACUGAGACACGGUCCAGACUCCUACGGGAGGCAGCAGUAGGGAAUCUUCCGCAAUGGGCGAAAGCCUGACGGAGCAACGCCGCGUGAGUGAUGAAGGUCUUCGGAUCGUAAAACUCUGUUAUUAGGGAAGAACAAAUGUGUAAGUAACUAUGCACGUCUUGACGGUACCUAAUCAGAAAGCCACGGCUAACUACGUG
RNAcentral lists this ribosomal RNA (497 nucleotides) under uncultured bacterium. RNAcentral describes it as "partial 16S ribosomal RNA". It matches the Rfam family "Bacterial small subunit ribosomal RNA", at positions 28 to 507 of the family's 1533-position model. The record is from RNAcentral.